This 449-nucleotide ribosomal RNA is filed under the name uncultured bacterium. Its description in RNAcentral is "partial 16S ribosomal RNA". It matches the Rfam family "Bacterial small subunit ribosomal RNA", at positions 29 to 523 of the family's 1533-position model. The record is from RNAcentral.
AGCGAACGCUGGCGGCAGGCCUAACACAUGCAAGUCGAACGAAGUCUUCGGACUUAGUGGCGGACGGGUGAGUAACACGUGGGAACGUGCCUUUAGGUUCGGAAUAACUCAGGGAAACUUGUGCUAAUACCGAAUGUGCCCUUCGGGGGAAAGAUUUAUCGCCUUCAGAGCGGCCCGCGUCUGAUUAGCUAGUUGGUGAGGUAAAGGCUCACCAAGGCGACGAUCAGUAGCUGGUCUGAGAGGAUGAUCAGCCACAUUGGGACUGAGGCACGGCCCAAACUCCUACGGGAGGCAGCAGUGGGGAAUCUUGCGCAAUGGGCGAAAGCCUGACGCAGCCAUGCCGCGUGAAUGAUGAAGGUCUUAGGAUUGUAAAAUUCUUUCACCGGGGACGAUAAUGACGGUACCCGGAGAAGAAGCCCCGGCUAACUUCGUGCCAGCCGCCGCAGUAA